CCGAGUGGCCGCACUGAUUAGCAAGGCAAAGUAGAGUUUUCAGAGACGGUCACCGAGCCGCGGAGGACUGUUUUUAUAAUUACAUCCAAACAACGAACACGCAAGGAUAAACAUGCACAAGUUUCCGGCUCGUACCUGAAUCGCGAGGAGUUUUUCAGAGGCGAGCAGGAGGAGCGAGGAGGAAACAAAUUAAAUCAGUGGGAAUGCAGGGAAUUAAAUAGAGACUUAAGCAUUUUGUGUGGCUACAAGUGUGUGUGGCUCUGCAAACCCCGUCCGGGAAGGAGACGACACAACUUGAAACCCACUUUCCAGUUGACUUCAGUUCUCGUUUGGAGUGGUGAUGUCUUGAUUCUGUGGCCUCUCCAGCCCAGUGAAGGACGUGCCAGUGCCGGGCUGCUGCUCAUGGGAACUCCUGCUCCGCCAUGAGUACCCGUGAUGGCGUCGGUGGCAUGGGCACCCUUGGCAGGCGGCAGCGCUAUGAGAACUCAGAGUUCACCGUGCGCAUCUACCCCGGCGCCUUGGCCGAGGGAACCAUCUACUGCCCGAUCAGUGCCCGCAAGACCACCACAGCAGCCGAGGCCAUCGAACGCGUCAUUGAGCGCCUGGUGUUGGAUCGCACCAGGUGUUAUGUUCUGGCCGAGGUGAAGGAGUUUGGAGGUGAAGAAUGGAUUCUGAAUCCGUGCGACUGUCCUGUGCAGAGGAUGAUGCUCUGGCCCCGUGUGGCUCUAGAGCAUCGUCCGCUGUCUGGCGGCGAGGAUUACCGCUUCCUCCUGAGGCAGAAGAACCUGGACGGAUCAAUCCACUAUGGUGGCAGCCUCCAGAUGUGGCUGCAGGUCACAGAGGAACGCAGGUGCAUGGUGGAACGAGGACUGCUACCACAGCCUGAGUCUCAGGGAGACCAUGCAGAUCUGUGCCGCCUGCCAGAGCUCAAUGAGCGCUCGCUGCUGGACAACCUGCGCUCACGCUUCCUCCAGGAAAGGAUCUACACUUAUGUCGGAAGCAUCCUCAUCGUCAUAAACCCCUUCAAGUUCCUGCCUAUCUACAACCCCAAGUAUGUGAAGAUGUAUGAUAAUCAUACACUGGGAGAUCUUGAGCCACAUAUUUAUGCCGUUGCAGACGUGGCGUAUCACGCCAUGCUGCAGAGAGAGAGAAAUCAGUGCAUCGUGAUAUCAGGGGAGAGCGGAUCUGGGAAGACACAAAGCACAAACUUUCUCAUUCAUCAUCUGACCGCUCUCAGCCAGAAGGGUUUCGCCAGUGGAGUGGAGCAGAUUAUCUUGGGGGCGGGACCAGUGUUAGAGGCUUUUGGGAACGCAAAGACUGCCCACAAUAACAACUCCAGCCGCUUUGGCAAAUUCAUUCAGGUGAACUACCAGGAGAGCGGCACAGUGAGAGGAGCAUAUGUGGAGAAAUACCUCCUGGAGAAGUCAAGGCUGGUUUAUCAGGAGCACAAUGAGAGAAACUACCACGUCUUUUACUACCUGCUGGCAGGAGCAAGUGAAGAAGAGAGAAAGGCCUUUCACCUCAUGAAGCCUGAAGAAUACCAUUACCUCAGUCAGAUUUCAAAGUCAUCCCACCAACUGCACUGGGACAGUUACUGUGACAGUGAACCGGAUUGUUUCACAGUGGAAGGAGAAGACCUGAAGCAUGACUUUGAGAGGCUUCAGCUGGCCAUGGAGAUGGUGGGCUUUCUCCCUUCCACACGAAAACAGAUUUUCUCUCUGCUGUCGGCAAUUCUUCACCUGGGGAACAUCCGCUACAAGAGGAAAACCUACAGAGACGACUCCAUUGACAUCUGUAACCCUGAGGUGCUGCCUGUCGUCUCAGAGCUGCUGGAGGUCAAAGAGGAGACGCUGUUUGAAGCCCUGACAACGCGGAAAACAGUGACUGUUGGAGAGAAGCUGAUUGUGCCAUACAAACUUUCAGAGGCGGGUACCGUUCGUGACUCCAUGGCCAAGUCUCUCUACAGCGCUCUGUUUGACUGGAUCGUCUUCAGGAUCAACCACGCUCUGCUCAACAUCAAGGACCUGGUGGAGACCACCAAGAUCUUAUCCAUCGGAGUGCUCGACAUAUUUGGUUUCGAGGAUUAUGAGAACAACAGCUUCGAACAAUUCUGCAUCAACUUUGCCAACGAGCGUCUCCAGCACUACUUCAACCAGCACACCUUCAAGCUCGAACAGGAGGAGUACAGGUUAGAGGGCAUCAGCUGGCACAACAUCGACUACAUCGACAACACAGGCUGCAUUAACCUGAUCAGCAAGAAACCCACAGCGCUGUUUCACCUACUGGAUGAAGAGUGCAAUUUCCCUCAGGCCACCAACCAGACUCUGUUGGAUAAAUUCAAGCGGCAGCAUGAGGGGAACAGCUACAUCGAGUUUCCUGCUGUCAUGGAGCCUGCAUUCAUCAUCCAGCACUAUGCUGGAAAAGUCAAGUACGGCGUCAAGGACUUCAGGGAGAAGAACACCGACCACAUGCGCCCGGACAUCGUUGCUCUGCUGAAGAGCAGCAAGAACGCCUUCAUCUGCGGGCUGAUCGGCAUCGACCCGUCAGCCACUUUCCGCUGGGCGGUUCUCCGAGCCUACUUCAGGGCCCUGGUGGCUUUCAGAGAGGCAGGGAAGAGACACACGCAGAAGAAGACUGGGCAUGAUGACGCUGCUCCCUGUGCAGUUUUGAAAAGUGUGGAUAGUUUUAGCUUUCUGCAGCAUCCUGUGCAUCAGAGAAGCUUAGAGAUCCUGCAGAGAUGCAAAGAGGAGAAGUACAGUGUGACCAGAAGGAGUCCACGUACGCCGCUGUCAGACCUUCAGGGGAGCAACACCAUCAAUGAGAUCUCACCACGUGGUUCUCCAGGUCUCGGGUGGAACGGCCGUUUGAGUCGACAGAGUCGUUUAUCCAGCGGCUCCAACACAGAAGAAGACGGCAUCUUUGUCAACUCUGCCAACAGCAAAUUGCUGGAGAGAGCGCACGACAUCCUCAUGAGGAACAAAAACUACAAAUCAAAGCCAGUUCUCCCCAAGCAUUUACUGAAUGUAAAGUCCCUGAAGUACCUCAGCAGCCUGACGCUUCACGACCGCAUCACCAAGUCACUUCUUCAUCUGCACAAGAAGAAGAAACCACCCAGUAUCAGCGCACAGUUCCAGGCGUCCCUCAAUAAGCUAAUGGAGACUCUGGGUCAGUCUGAGCCUUAUUUUGUCAAGUGCAUCCGUUCAAAUGCUGAGAAGCUGCCUUUAAGGUUUAAUGAUAACCUGGUGCUGAGGCAGUUGCGUUACACUGGCAUGCUGGAGACUGUGCGCAUCCGGCAGUCGGGUUACAACAUCAAGUACAGCUUCAAGGAUUUUGUUCAUCACUUCAGCGUGCUUCUCCCAUCGGGUACCAGGGCCACCAGAGAGGGCAUCCAGAAGUGUCUGGACCAACUGGAUCUGCAGCCAGAUGGAUACCAAGUGGGAAAAACAAUGGUGUUUCUGCAUGAAGCUGAGCGUCUGCGCCUGCAGGCCUUACUGCACAGAGAAGUAUUCGGACGGAUCGUCACGCUGCAGCGACGCUUCAGAGCCCGGCUGGAGAGGAGGCAGUUUGUGAGAAUGAGAGACGCAGCAGUCUGCAUCCAGAAAUGGUGGCGUUCAUACCAAUCCAGAGAAGAAGGAGUGGAGGUAGAAGAAGAUGUGGAAGAGGAGGUAGAAGAGGAAGAGGAGUAUGAUUAUGAUCCUUCUGCCCAGGAGGGGGCAGCGUUGUGUCUGCAGACUCACUGGCGGGGUUACAAGGAGCGUCAGAGGUUCAGGCUGUGGAGGCAUGCAGCUGUGGUGCUGCAGAGAGCGUGGAGGUCAUGGCUCUCCAGACGCUGCUCAGCCACUCUGGUUAUUCAGACGGCCUGGCGAUGUCACAAAGCCAGAGAAGCGUACCUGCGUCUGUACGCUGCUGUGGUACGACUACAGGCAACCUGCAGAGGCUACCUGGAUAGGCAAAGCUUCAAAAAACUGAACGAUCAGAGACUAAAGGAGAAAAAGGAGCAGCAGGACAAGCUGCUGCAGCUACAGAAUGGACAGGUGAGUCUCUCCCCAGAAGAAGAGGAGCAGCCGUCUGAGAGGAUCAUGGACUUGGACCUCGGCACGUGGGAGGAUCCUUCCUACCAGCAGCAGGAAAGGAGCCUCCAUAUCCUCAGCAGCAAGGAGGAGGAAGGAGGAGAACAUGCUGGGACAAAGGAGAGUAUGACUAAAGUGGAAGCUGAAGCAUUCCCCACCACCACUGUGGUGGUACGAGAGAGAUCCAGGACUGUAGACGAGCCCAGCCAGAAGACAACCCGAGCCAAGAGAGAGAGCCGGCGGAUGAGGGAGUUAGAGCAGGCAAAGUUCAGCCUGGAGCUCCUCAAGGUUCGCUCAACCAGUGGAGGAUCCUCGUCACCAUCUGACGAGCGACGCUGGUCAGUGGAGCUGAUGCCCUCUAUUACCCCGCCCCUCCGUUCACCGCAGGGCACGCCUGACAGCCAGAGCUCCAAAGGCAGCUUUGAGCUUCUCAGCAUGGAAGAUGAGGCACCGAAGGCAGUAGAGGAGGUGACAGACAGUGAGGACGCCUUCUCCCCUCCUCCCCCAGACGCUCCAGAACCAGAGCCUCAUGUGGAAGUGAUGUCACCAAGCCCAAAGCCAGCUGAACUGCACAGGACAGAGAUUUCUGAUGCUGCUGAUGCACCAGGUAGCAAAGGCCCUAGCAGAACAGAUUUGACAACUCCUUCUGCACCCACUCAUCCGCCCAAAGUCGACUACCUCCCUACAUUUUAUGUUCCUGCCAGCGAGGGCAGCACCGUCAUCUCCCAGCAUCUCACAGAAGAGCCUCAACAAACGACAGAGGCAACCGUCCCCACAACCACCACCACCAUUGUUACCAAGUCUGUCAAAGAAAGGAAAGAAUCCACACGCCGACCUGUGGUUGUUGUCAUCAGUAUGCAGAAAGAGACCCCGCUAAGUGAGGAGCUCAGUGAUAUCAUCCGUCCUCCUGUUGAGGUUCGAGAUUCAGCUGCUCAAACAGGGGAGCUGACACCUUCACCCUUGAAACCAAACCCAGCUCCUGUGCCUCAAGGUCCUGUCCCUGCUCCUACGUCUGGCCCUCAGGCCGACCCGGCCGUCAUAGAGAAGCUGGUGCGACUGAACGAGGAGAAGGAGGUGCGGCAGAGGAACCAGCAGCAGCAGAACGAGAAGGAGAUGAUGGAGCAGAUCAGGCAGCAGAAAGAAGCUCUGGAGAGGCAGCGGCUCUUCUUCGCUCAGUACGAGAGAGAAAUGUUCGAGAAACAGAGAGGUGAAGCUCUGAACAAGAUCCAGCAGAGUCGACAGGUUGGACCAGACGUGGGAGGAACUGCAACAUCCGGCAAGCCCAUCAGACCCAGUUCACUGCUGAUAGAGAGGGCGGCAAGUUUUACUCCUCACUCCAGGACACAAUCAGACUCCACUCCCCCUGUCGGGCACUCUGUACCUGGUGUGGGCGUCAAGGGCAGCACCCCUUGUCCCCAGCUGCCUCCACCGCCGGCCUCUGCUCCCAGAGAGAGACGCAGACCUCCUUCUGAGGGCUGGGCGCCCAAACUCACUCUGGAGACCAAAGAUGGAGCAACAAGGGUUAGAACAUCCACCAAGAAGCCUCCAAGUAAUCAAGGCACCGCUGUUAGUAUGAAGGAUAAACCAGGCAACAUCUUCUUCUCACCAAAGGACAAAGUCACGUUUGCAAAGUUUGAGAAUGAAGCUGCCUCCAAAGAAACACCUGCAGCUGUUCCUAGAGAGGGACAACCUCCAACAGUCACAACAAAACCCUCUAAAGGAGCGAAACCUCGGGAUCCUGCGAACACUGAGGAGCAAAAGAAAAUUCACAAAGCCAUGUCAUCGGGAGAUUUAGGCAAAUCUGACUCAAUGCGAAAGAGUCUGCAGGAUGGGAGAGUUCGAGGCAAGAUGCGUUUCUGGGGAAAGGCAAAGUAUGGGGAAAAAAAGACCUCCAGAGAAAAGCUGAUCUGUGGGGGUGAUUCAAUGGAUGGGGACUAUGGAGACACUGGACCACUGCUGGGGGAGGGUCAGGAAAACAUGUCGCCCCCCUGCAGUCCUGAUCUGGUGAGGGAGGACAGAGGGUCCAGAGACCUGAAAGAGAACAAAGAACCGUCCCCUAAGGUGAAGCGAAGGCGCAGCGUUAAGAUCAGCAGCGUGGCUCUGGAGCCGGCUCAGUGGCAGAACGACUCGCUGCAGAUCCUCACCUGCACCAACGACUACAGGAGCAUGAACGACUUCCUGAUGAAGAAGAUCAACGACCUGGACACAGAAGACAGUAAGAAAGACACCAUGGUAGACGUCGUCUUUAAAAAGGCUCUGAAGGAAUUCCGUCUCAACAUCUUCAACUCUUACUCAACGGCACUCGCUAUGGAUGAUGGUAAAAGUAUCCGCUACAAAGAUCUGUACGCUUUGUUUGAGCACAUCUUGGAGAAGACCAUGCGACAGGAGCAGAGGGACUGGAGAGAGUCUCCCGUCACAGUGUGGGUCAACACCUUCAAAGUUUUCCUGGAUGAGUUCAUGACAGAGUACAAGCCUCUGGACAGCACGCUCAUCAAGCAGGCACCAAAACCUGAACGCAAAAAACGGAGGAAAAAGGACAAUGACAUUGUGGAGGAACAUAAUGGCCACAUCUUCAAGUCAACUCAGUACAGCAUCCCCACAUACUGUGAAUACUGCUCGUCCCUUAUCUGGAUGAUGGACCGGGCCUGUGUGUGCAAAUUGUGCCGCUACGCCUGCCACAGAAAGUGCUGCCAGAAAACGACUACUAAAUGCAGUAAGAAGUUUGAUCCAGAGCUUUCCUCCAGACAGUUCGGUGUGGAAGUUUCUCGUCUGACUAACGACGAGAGGACGGUGCCGCUGGUGGUUGAGAAGCUUAUAAACUAUAUAGAGAUGCAUGGACUCUACACAGAAGGAAUAUACAGAAAGUCUGGCUCUGCCAACAAAAUAAAGGAGCUAAAACUGGGACUUGACACAGACGUGGACAGCACCAACCUGGACGACUACAACAUCCAUGUCAUUGGGAGUGUUUUCAAGCAGUGGCUGAGAGAGCUUCCUAAUCCUCUCAUGACAUUUGAGCUGUACGAGGAUUUAUUCGUACCAUGGCGGGUCUACAGGAUAAAAAAGAGGCGAUCCGAGGGGUGUAUUCAAUUAUCGACCAGCUAAGCAGAACUCACCUAAACACUCUGGAGCGCCUCAUAUUUCAUCUUGUCCGGAUUGCCUUGCAGGAGGACACAAACCGCAUGUCAGCAAACGCCUUGGCUAUAGUUUUUGCUCCCUGUAUCCUGCGCUGUCCUGACACCAUAGAUCCACUGCAGAGCGUCCAGGACAUCAGCAAGACAACAGCCUGUGUAGAACUUAUUAUCUGUGAACAGAUGAAUAAGUACAAAGUACGACUAAAGGAUAUUAACAGCCUGGAGUUUGCUGAGAAUAAAGCCAAGUGCAGACUGACCCUCAUCAGACGAUCCAUGGUGAGUUCACAUAAUCUGAUUUAUAAUCCAGCAGUAAUUCGAUAAAUGUGCUAAUAACCAUUGUCUCAUUGCUAAAUCUACCUGACUGAACCGUCUUAAAAACUCCCUCAGUGCUUAACCUUCCCUGGUUUCCUCCUCUGAGCUGUUCUUCUCCUCUCCAUGUUACUCCAUCUAACCUGUCCUCUCCUUUACUCAGAAACCCGCACUUAUAGCUGUUAGAUUUUUGAGCAUAGCGCGUGCUAUGGUAUGUAUACACACACCAUGGACUGCAUCCCUAAACCAUCAUCCAGUGGUGAUGUUGUUGUGGUGCCGAUCACUACUCAGUCUCAUCUCGUCAAAACACAUAUCUAUCCACUUCAUCCUCAAAAGCAUGUGUCAUCACUUCACUCAGUCGGUUUCUGUUUUCUUCUUUUUUUGUGUCUCGGAUUGAUUACAUUUUUUGUUACAGCAGUUAGAUUUCCAUGAUCUUUGUGAAGUAUAGAACAUUCACAGUGCACGUUUGUCUUGUUUAAUUUCUUCAAAUCUGCAAAGACUUCAUUUUUCUUUAGGUUAAUAUCAAACAUUGUCUUUUAUGGCUGACAAUCUAACCUGCUAGUGUGGGAUGAAUAUGAUGGGUCACAGAUAGAUAGGAUGAAGAUAAGGUAUAUUUUUAUUUAUUGUUAAGAACAAGAAAUAGAGAAAAGCAUUGAAUAGUUCCAUAGGGAUCACAUACACGUACACACAGUGUCAAAUUUAGACAGUGGAAUGUGUUGUCUUUAUGAUAACCUGUAUGACACAGAUUUAUCUUUAUUUGUUUCAGCUUUUUUUUAUAUAUUUACAGAAGUUGAACUUUUUUUCCAACAGAAUUUCUGCAAAAAACAUCACUUUCAAAGCAAUACUAUUAGCUCAGUCUCCGGCACAAGUAGCAGUGCAACACAGCUAAGUAGAUGGUGAUCCAUACUAUAAUUGGUUGAUGCAAGUUCAGUAUUAUUUAUACAGUUAUAUGUGAAAUAAGCUGCCCUUGAAUAACCUGGUGUGUUUUUUUCAUGAUUUUUUUUAUGGCAUCCAGAAUGUUUCUAAGUAGCAAUAUUAGAUUAAAAAAUAUGUGGCUUGAUUUGACUUUUUUACAACACAGUGAAGUGCAUGAAGUAGAGAAAUAAAAAAGCGAGUAAGCAGAGAACAUUAUACGCACAUAUCCAGACUUAGAUCAAGUCCCAUUAUAUUCACUGUCAAGGCCACCAGCUCUAUGAAUCUGCUGGACUUUGAAAUGUAACUGUCCUUACUGUGACAAGGAGUAUUUUCAUUUCAAGGCAAAAAUCUGGUCCACAAUAAGUGAUCAGUCAGUAUUUCCCUCCCUUAUAACGUCUAGUGUGUCCCUUUUUUUUUUACCUUUCCCAAUCAAAAGUCAUGUUGAUAUCUUACAUGUUUGUAUUGUUCAUUGUUAACUACCAGAUAUAUUUGUUGCUGUUAGCUCACCACAACUCGUACACAGCUGUUCAAUAAAGUCAUUUAGGAUUAAAACCUUGACCUUUAUAAACCUGGCGUUACUGAUUUUAUCCUUUUUGCUUCUCACUUAAACCUGAAGCAGCCAAAUGCAGCCAAAAAGGGAAAAGGCCACGUACAGCGACUGAGCUACCACACGCCCUCGCCUCCGGUUAGCCCUCGGCUGCCGUUUGUGCCUGAUGCUGUGAUAACAGAGAGCGAUGGUGAAGAGAGAGCCGACUCUUUUCCAGAAAUCUCUGAGCAUCAGCAGGCAGCCAUGCAGCAGGAAGAGAGGGUGUUGACGGAGCAAAUUGAGAGCCUGCAGAAAGAAAAGGAGGAAUUGACUUUUGAAAUCCUGGCUCUGGAACCACGGGCCUCAGAUGAUGAGACCCUGGAGUCAGAGGCCUCUAUCGGUACAGCUGACAGCUCUGAAAACCUCAAUGUGGACUCUGAGGGAACCAUUUCUGACUUUUCUGAGAGAGGUCCCAUGGUGACCUCCCCCUGGCCUCGGAGGUCUGACGCACAGAGCCCCCGACGCCGGGCUCUCCGCAGGCAGCCUGACUCCCUGGACUCUGUGGACUCUUGCUCCAGCGUUUCCUCCUACUCCUCCUCAUCACACUUCCAGCCAACUUCAUCUGCCACCGGCCGGCGCUUUCGUUUCCACAACAAGUCUCCCUCAGGUUCAGCCCAGGCUCAGGCUCUGAAUGCAUCUCAAUCGUCCCGGUCCGACAGCUUCGAAAUGAGCCCCACAGGAGAUCAGGAAGUCUUGAAUGAUGAAGUACCGCAAUUUGUUAGCCGAGGCACCUACAACCCAGAGAGAGGCAAACAGAAACUCAGGGGGACCAAGCAUUCAACCAGGAGGCACUCCAGAGACGGGGAAGGCCACGGCAGGGACCCUUCAGAGAUACCACAACAGAUGGUAUUAUAUGGCAACAAUGAAUUCAUGGUAUGAAGGACACUGGGACACCAAAGCACUCCCUUUUUUUAACUCCCUGGCAGGAAUAUAAGCUCUCAAUGGGAGGUAACACUAUGGUGACUGAUCGCCACUCCUACAAGCACUCAUGCUUAGCCUUUCUUUGUUGAAGUCUGCAAAGAAGUCUCCCCAAGUGCCGUGUACAGUGUUACUGAAGGGGGUUUGUUAGACAGAGGGACAUAAAUCGGUGGAAGUGGCUCCUCUUCUGUGGACUAAACUGCCAUCCAUGCUCUCACAGUGCCUUGGCAGCUUUUUACCCAACGCCAAGAGGAGAGGGACUGAGCAGGAGGACAGAGAAAAGGGAACGUUGGGACAUGCAGAAGACCACUCAGCAUCAGGGAAAGUAAUGGAGCUGGAAAGCUAAGGCAGUGCGCUGCAGUGAAUACGAAGAAAUCAGGCAACAUCAGGCGUCACAGAUGUUACAGUGAACCUUAAGCUCACAAUUAUUAGCUGCUUUAUGAGUUUACAGUUCAUAACAAUCAGUGUAAGCAGUGGUUGCUCUGUUAUUACAAGUUUAUUUUCCCCUUAUUUAAUAAAUUUUAAUGUCACAGAAAUUCUUUAUAACAUAUAUUAUACAGGUAUAAAUACUGUACAAAGCCGGAACACCAGCCUCCGCUGGGUAGUUGAAGUCAGAUAUUUAUCUUUUUUUUUUUCUUGAGUAUCUUGGACAGAGAUGUACCGAUUUGGGCAGUGGAUGAUUUAUGAGUGUGUGUGUGUGCAUGUGCCAAGCGCUCAUGCUCGACUGUGUGUGUGUGAAAAAGAGAAAACCACUCCAUGUGUUUUAAGUUUUUGUGCUGCUUUUUCCCCCUUACAAGGGAAAUACCGCCAUCAAAGGGACCAAGACAGCUGGUGUGUAUUCCAGCCACGGGGAUCCCAGCUCUGUAAAGAAUGUUAUAUGUGUAUUAUUAAACCCCUGCAUUCACUGCUUAACAGCCAUACAACAAAUAUAAUGUACAGUACAGGUCAUAUGUACAGUAUAGUGGACAAAUGCCAUUCUUUCAUUGAACUCUAUUGUUACCCUUCCACCCCCAAACCUGUCCCCACCUUCUGUUUCAAAAGUGUUUGCUCAAUAGCAACCAAGCAAGAACAUAAAAUCAGCACGA
RNA transcript from Notolabrus celidotus (New Zealand spotty), 11014 nucleotides. It is a transcript of the gene named myosin IXAa, with no coding region annotated. NCBI's taxonomy places the organism in Eukaryota, Metazoa, Chordata, Actinopteri, Labriformes, Labridae. The record is from RefSeq and is a predicted model, not a curated record. The transcript is spliced from 42 exons.